RNAcentral lists this microRNA precursor (83 nucleotides) under Homo sapiens (human). RNAcentral's name for it is "mir-548 microRNA precursor family". It matches the Rfam family "mir-548 microRNA precursor family". Lineage: Eukaryota; Metazoa; Chordata; Mammalia; Primates; Hominidae. The record is from Rfam by way of RNAcentral.
UAUUAGGUUGGUGCAAAAGUAAUUGCAGUUUUGCCAUUUAAAAGUAAUGGCAAAACUGCAAUUACUUUUGCACCAACCUAAUA